UGUGAUUGCACACGGACGCUGUUGUUCUGUUGUCGUGUGGGCCAACAAGUCUUGUGGUGUAUUUUCAUGGAUUCCAAAGUAAAGUAUGCAGUAGCUGGUUCAGAGUGAUUUCUUGUUUUACGAGGCGAAUGUCGGGCUAGAAACCGAAUCAAUAAGCUUCUUAGUUAUUAUGGAUUUCUACCUACAAAAAUACGAACUUUUCACGGCGAUCUAAAUACCCAAUUUGAUAUGUUUCCAGUUUCAUACUUGUUGGAACCGUCCAAAAUAUCUUCGGCCUGUCUACUACGAAAAUAUCUUCGAAAAUAUGUUCGGUCUUCUAAAUACGUCCAUCGACCCUUAGAUAGCACUGCGUGAUGUCAAGGUGAUGCCUGAUGUUUGUCCAAAUUUUUCGGUCUCAUAAGAUUCCAGCAGGCUGUUGGCUUACCCUCGCCGGCCGAGGGGGGUGGGGGUAGGGAAGGCGGUGCCCCCCCCCAUAGGGGUUUUCCCCGAUAGCUCCGAAUACGCUGGCGAUAGAGAGCUGAAACUUGACAUACCUUACCAUUGAUUCAAGCCGGAUCUUUUGACACCAACCGCAUUUUCAGGUCAGGUUAGGUCACUGACCCAUGACGUCAUAAGUGAGCUUCUGCACGGUCUUCAGAUGUCACAACUUCGCAACGCCCUCACUGCCAGAGGAGCUGUCACAGGAAAAUGAAACUUGCAGGAUCCAGUAUCCAUUACAAAUCUCGUAGCUUGUAUAUCUCGGAUUUUUCCUUAAGGUCAUAUGAGUUCAGGUCAUUUUCGUGACCUCAAUGGGAAAAAUGAAAACUUCUAUUCUGGCGCUGGGAACGGUCUCCAACUAUCUCAAGCACACAGAAUCGUGAUUUCAUGCACUCCUUGCAAGGUUAGAUGCGUCACUUUUGCAAUGUUGACCUUGCGUGAUGUCAUUUAUGAUGUUAUUAGAGUCAUAUUAGUUUUUCGUUCAUAACUCCGGAUAAAUUGAGCUAGCGAGUGGGGAAAGCCACCAAUGGACUAAGGAAGACCUGCCGAAUCGAAUGAUAUGCAAUAUGACCGCCAUCGACCAAUUUCAUGACUUGGGGGCGCUGAUCUGACCGUGACCUGAGGUCAAUACCCUAAGUUGACCUCACCCGAACAAAAAGUAUAUCAUUCGAUGCGCCUGAGGAGGCAAACACGAUGCUGCCAAAAUCGCGGCUCUCCGGCUGAUUUUUUGCGAAGUUAUUAACCAAAGACGGAACCGUACCUUGGUGCACUUGACCUGACCUCAGAGGACUGCAUUAUGUCUCUGAGGACUGACUAUCUGUUCACCAUUUUCUUGGAGUAGAUAUGAUAUGCUAGUGCAGCAGAUCUGCAUUGUAUGAUGUUAUGGCCAGCAAUGCUCAACACAAAAAUGUUGAACUUUCUGCUGCAAAUCUAAGCCACCCUGUGGCUGAUGAGCAGCUCUGCACUGGCAAUAUGUUUUCGGCAUUGCCGUCUGGGCUGUGGUUGGCGCCUUAAAAACAAUGGUUACAUGUGAAAUUCCAAAAUUGUGAACCAUUUUGUAGCCUUGCAGAUAUUGCAAUAUUUCUCUUGCCAUCUAAUUGGUUUGAAAUACCUAAGUCUUCAUUGACCUGGGUUUUAUGAGCAAAGUUGGUAAAUGCAUAUUUCAAACUGAGUGCAGCGGUGAGCGAGUAGGAAAAUCCUUUCCUGAUGCGUAGUUACUUGGUAAUGUAGCCCAGGUAAUUGACUCAAGAAAAUGAUCAAUUAUUGUAUCUAUCUUUCAGGUUCAGUUAUAUGUGUAACUCACAAGUGCUCAAAAAGGCUGCAAGAUGCCUAGCUAGCAACUGCUCCAGCCUCCAACCAGUUUGAAGGAAGAAGGGGUGUGUUUGUCCACAGGUUUCCUCAAGACCCAGGUGUGUACAGCGAAAGGACUGGCGCAUUCAGGUGAAGAUGGACUGGUGGCAACAUGUGUCGCUUGCCCCGGUGCAAGCUUGGUCAUGCGGCACACUUCAUGAUGAGGGCUCCUUCGAUUGCACAGACCAGUUUGGCUGUGCUAUGGUGCAGUCCCAUCAGGUCUUUCUUCCCUGCUCACCUGCAGGACCAUUUCAAUAGCUGCCAGAGCAGCGGGGGCUGAAGCAAAGGCUAGAGAAAGCUGCGACUAGGACGUUGGCCUGUUCCAAGCAGUCUCGAAACGCACACAAGAACGGGAAAAUGUCGAUCCGGACAGCACGCCCCAGGGAGCGUCACUCGUCAGAGGCGGUCUCGACGGGCAGGCCGGGCGGUGCCCAGGGAGCAGCGUCUCCCGUCUGUGGCUGCCCCGAUGGGCAGGCCGGGCGGCACUCCGGCAGCAGCUGCAUCCGUCUGUAGCGGCCCCGACAGCAGGCCGGGCGGCACCUUGGGAGCAGUGGCACACGUUUAUGUGUGUGUGUGGGAGGGGGGGGGGGGCGACGGCAGACCAGGCAACAGAGGCAGUCUACAGGGAAUAGCGGCACCCGUCUAUGGUGACCCCGACGGCAGGUCGGACACCGAGGCGGCUCCCAGGGAGCAGCGGCACCCGUCUGUGGCGGCAUCGACGGCAGGACGGGCGGUGCUGAUGUAGUAGCGUCUAGUUUGCUGAUAAACGUUAGCGAUAUAGGCAUUAUCCUAGUCACCAUGCUCAGGCGCGUCGAUGAUAUGCUUGUGCUAGGAUAAGUUCAACCUACAAUUCUGACCUUACGUCACGUUGAUCUAGGAGGGCCGUAUAACUCAUUUCGAUUUUGACGGUCUUCAGUCCAUUGGUGACUGUCCCGACUCGCCAGCUCAAUUUAAUCGAAUGAUUUACCUAAACCUCCGACUCUGGCUUUGUGACGUAAUCUAUGUCGCUAAAGUAAACGGUGCAAAAGUUAAAAAUUGGUUUACAAGAUGUGUAUUAUCUCAUGCGUGCGUUUGCAUAGCCUUCAAUCAUUUCCGGCACCAAAAUAGCAAUUACCACCUUUCCCCAUUGACUUGUGAUGGCGAUGUCACGUGACUGACCUGACCUCAGGUGACCGUCAGGAAAAAUAUUAGAUAUACAAGCUAUAAGUCCUCUGGAGGGUACAAGGUUCUGUUAGUUUGAUCUCCCUGUGAAAGCUCCUCUGGCAGUGGCACUGAAGGCAUUACGAAGUUGCGGCAUGUCAUGACCGCGCGGACGUCAUAGGUCAGUGACCGGGCAUGACCUGAAAGGAUGAUUAGUGUCAUAAGAUCCGGAUUUAAUGAAAGGUCAGUUGUACCAACUUUCAGCUCUCUGAGGCCAGCGUGUACCGAACAAGCACGAGUAAACCGUCUGGGAACAAGGGGUGACUAAUCCCUCGCUGCGGUACGGUACGAUGAUAAAAAAAUUGAUUUCAAAUACAUUUGGUGAGGCUAUAGGCUCUAACUAAUCAGUUCAUAACCAUACUGGCCAUCUGCAGCCUCCCAAUAACUCAAAAAUCGGUUUGGAAAACGGGCUCGAAACCGCUCCAGCCCCAUUCACUUUACGUGUUGUAGCAAAUGCGAGUCUAUGAAGACGGCUGCCCCAACAUGGCCGCCUGACCUACAUGUUCGCUAGUAUGGGGAGCCAAUGGGCGUGUCCUAUCUAGUCUGUAUAUCUAUGGUGGCCACUAUCGGAAUUUUGUUUAUUCGCCGCGCCGCGCCACUUUCGU
This 3632-nucleotide long non-coding RNA is filed under the name Amphibalanus amphitrite. RNAcentral describes it as "uncharacterized LOC122367598". The record is from RNAcentral. Lineage: Eukaryota; Metazoa; Arthropoda; Thecostraca; Balanomorpha; Balanidae.